UUGCCAGCAGCCGCGAUCUACUAACGUUUCAUGAGUGACUCGGAAUUACUGGGCGUAAAGCGUGCGUAGGUGUUCGUUUAAGUCCGUUGUGAAAGCCCUGGGCUCAACCUGGGAACUGCAGUGGAUACUGGGCGACUAGAGUGUGGUAGAGGGUAGCGGAAUUCCUGGUGUAGCAGUGAAAUGCGUAGAGAUCAGGAGGAACAUCCAUGGCGAAGGCAGCUACCUGGACCAACACUGACACUGAGGCACGAAAGCGUGGGGAGCAAACAGGAUUAGAUACCCUGGUAGUCCACGCCCUAAACGAUGCGAACUGGAUGUUGGGUGCAAUUUGGCACGCAGUAUCGAAACUAGCGCGUUAAGUUCGCCGCCUGGGGAGUACGGUCGCAAGACUGAAACUCAAAGGAAUUGACGGGGGCCCGCACAAGCGGUGGAGUAUGUGGUUUAAUUCGAUGCAACGCGAAGAACCUUACCUGGCCUUGACAUGUCAAGAACUUUCCAGAGAUGGAUUGGUGCCUUCGGGAACUCGAACACAGGUGCUGCAUGGCUGUCGUCAGCUCGUGGUCAGGAGAUGUUUGGGUUAAGUC
Molecule: ribosomal RNA, 584 nt
Filed under: uncultured Gammaproteobacteria bacterium
Lineage: Bacteria; Pseudomonadati; Pseudomonadota; Gammaproteobacteria
Description: bacterial SSU rRNA
Rfam family: Bacterial small subunit ribosomal RNA
Source: RNAcentral